This is a long non-coding RNA of Falco peregrinus (peregrine falcon), 6259 nucleotides long. RefSeq lists it as uncharacterized. The transcript is spliced from 3 exons. The record is from RefSeq and is a predicted model, not a curated record. NCBI's taxonomy places the organism in Eukaryota, Metazoa, Chordata, Aves, Falconiformes, Falconidae.
UACUAAUCUAGUUAGCCCAUGAGACUUGUUACAGCUGGCAGUUCUCAAAAAUGAGAGAUUACAAGUUAUUUUACUCUUCAUUGUUAAUCCUGUAGAAAAAUGGUGGGUUUGGUCUGUUUUGAAGGUGUACAUUCUACUUACAUUUUUUUUAAUUCCUGGUAUGGUAGGCUAAAACUUCAGAAAAGAACAUCUGAUAAGUCAGCAGGAAGAGAUUCUGGCUGACCAACUAAAGCCACUACUGAAGAGGGAGUCUGAAUAGGCUUGUGGAGGACCUGUGAUGCUGGGGGACGGACUGAUUCAGAGAACUGGAAAAGGGAUCCAAGAUCAUCACUACACUCCAGCAAGUUCUCUGCACAGAGCUGGUGAUGUGAAGACAAUCUUGAGAGCUGAACAGUUUACUUUGAAGUUUGGCUGUUUGUUAUUUCCUUCAAGGCUGGACACCAUAAGAAAAGGAGUUAAUCAGUUGCCAAGGCCACUCAGUGGGUAAAUAAUUGAGAUGAGACUAAACUAUGGGGUUUGACUUCCACGGUUACUGAGGUGAGCAGUAUUAAGCUGGGCUCUUAAACUGUAUCUAUGACUGACACUUUCAGAAAGACAUUACCAUUUGAAACUGGAGUUGAUCAGCCAUGUUGAUAAAUGUGUUUGAUUCAGUGGCAAAUAACCACAAAAAGGUUUAUAUACAGAUAACUGAUGUGGCUCUGGUCCAAGUAAACAAAUGAAUGUGAGAGAUCAUGGAUUUCAGGGAUGCCUUAUAAAGUAGGCUAGUGAUAACAAUGUUACUGGGGCUUUUUUCUCUGAAAAGUGGAGAAAAACGUCCUUUGCCAUGGAUUAACCUCAUCUGGGAUUCAGUGAGCCAGGACAAGGCGAACUGUAUGCUUCACCUCCACCAUGUUAGAAUUCUGCAUAAUUGAUGUCUCCCAGGCCAUUUGUGAGCAAAGUGAUGUGCCAAUGCAGAGUGGCUUGUAGGGAGGGUCUUAUUUUAGAAGUAUUGAGUAUGCUGGGAGAUUACCAUUUUUCUCCUUAGGUAGUCUUUAUCUUUAUUCUUCUUUGACAAGAAACUUAAGCUUUGAUGCCAAGAAGCACAAUGAAAAAGAAUGCUUUCCCCUUUCCCAUUAUCUUCCUCUUUGUUGAACCUGAGAAUACACCUAUUUAUUUCUUUGAGAGGUUAACUCAAGAGUGGCAAGCUACUUUUUCAUUUUCACUUACUUUCUCAUAUCCAAUUUCUGCUUUAUGAUGAAAUGGAUGGAAUUUUUUAGUACUUUUUAAGAUCAGGUUUAAAAAAAGGUGAAUAGGCAAUUAUAGCAUGGCAAUUACAUUAAAAAAAUCCUUGCUAUAGCUGCCAUUCUUGCAGCAUUUCUAGUUUUGUCUUUAUUACAGUACCAGCAUCCAUUCUCAUUAUUAUCAGCUAUAUUUCUCUUCAUUAUUACCAACAGAUAAAGGGGGGCGGGGGAUGGGGGGUAGGGGAAGUACAAAGAACUGCAGAUCAAACAGAAAACACUGCCGUACUAAGUUAAGGGAAUCCCCUAAAGGUUGUUUUCUGCGAUCCCAGUCUUAAGGUCCUUAGGACCUUUACCUUUCUGCAGUUUAAGGUCCUUAAUAUGUUCUGUAGCCCAGAGGCCUUACAUUUGCAAAAAGAGGAGGGAAAGGAAUCUUCACUAAGCAAAAUCUUUCUCAUUUUCACAUCUGCUCUACCAGGUUAUGCCACUGUGCAAACAGACUUUUCAAAAUCUAGAUUUUUCUGGGAAGACAUAUGCUUUUCUCCUACAAAUUAAACCUACUGUACUGGUGGAACAGUACAGUGUCAAGUUUUUCUAUGUCAGAUGGUCUGUGAAGAACUGGAGAUGCUAGGAGAUCCUACCUUAGAAAGUGAUUUGAAAUUCCUGACAACUGGUGCAAUCUGGCUUCUAAAAGCAAAAUAUUUACCCAGUAACACUUUCAAAUAUUUGUAUUAAAUUUCAUGUCACUUAUUUGCUUACUAACACUGUACCUUAAGGUGCUCCAAGAACAAAUAAUUCUUUUCCACUGCAGGUACAGUAGCAGUAUUCAGAGGGGAGCAAUACCAUGAAAAGGAAAGUCACACCCUUCAUUGUGGUGUUUUACAGUUUAGUAAUAUUGUUCAAAGUAUGAACCAAAUGUUCAGAUCAAAAUGAGAAGGUCAUAGGAUAUGAGUAUGUCAUAGGAUCAAAGAGGUGGUCACAGGAUAAAAUAUGGUCUUUAUUUAUGAUCCAGGAGUAAAUGAUGUCAUGUUGUAGACUUAGCUGCCAAGAAUAUGGGGAAGGUAUUUUGCUAAAACCUAUGUCUCCACAUUGGGAAAAUGGCAGGACAAACAUGUUACUGCAGGUUUUGGAUGAAAAAUAGCUGGGCAGAACCGAAAUGAUGCUAGUCAGUGAACUGAAAUAAAAGGUUGGUUGAAUAUCAUCUCAGCCUCCCCACUGAAGGUAUAUACCUAUUUGCCAACAUGUGACAAAGUCUUGGGAAGGUGAGGAAGUUGUGUUUAUCUGCUGAUGACAUUGGGAUGAACAGCAUAGCAAGGUAAGAGUGAACAGAAGUCCAGGAAACAUCCAUUUAAGGCAUUGUUGUAUCCAUUCAUUAAUAUGACCUUCUCCAAAGGAAUCACCAAAGCUGAGUAAAAAUGUUUGGCAGAAGGCUGACACCAUGCAUCUGAUGGCUCGGCCCAGUGUGAACAUAACAGAUCUUUAGAAGAGUCUUCCAGCUUCUCAGGUCGGCUCUGAUGCCACCGUACAGCUCUUGUCCUAGCUUACAAAGCAAUUAAUGGAUCGAGUCUCACCUACAUAAAAAAACCAUAUUUCUGUGACAGCUGAGGAGAUUACAAAUCCCAAAUAUAAAGACUUUGGGAAAGGAAGGGAGCAGAGAAAAAUGGUUUGCUAUGGAAUGGCCUGGCCUUGGAGAUCAUGCAAAUCCAAAUGCUGACCACAUUUUAGCCUGCGUUGUAAAUCAUUUACAGCCUAUGCGGCGGUCACAAUCUCAGAUUUAGUCCUAAAUUUAUAUUUUCCAAAAUCUCUAGUCCAAGGAAAUUUUUAGCCUCAAAGGUGACAAAAUGGCAUUGACCCUGAAAUUCCCUAGGGAUAUUAAUGUUGCUUUUGAUUUGUACGUGGAAAAUUCUCAUAUCUUAACACUGACGCUUAUUGUUGUGCUAUGAAAAGUAAGACAUAAUAAGAUGGAAUUCCACCUGAAAGCAGAGGUAAAUCUGUGGGCAGAAUGGAGAAAUGUAGGUAGAAGAAUGAUCUUUGUGCCAGGAUACAUGCAUUGAUUUCACAUGCCAGUUCACAGUCAUCUAAACUGUGGGUAAAGGGCUGUUAAUGGAUUUUAUCUCAUGCGGAGAUGACCACACAGUGAUUUAAUUUAUACCUUGGUUGAUUAUAAAGGCAAUGUGGUUCAACCCUAGCAUCCACCUUAGAGAAAAUAUCCCUAUAUAGCAGACCAGCUGCUCUAGGUAAAACAAGCAUGGCACAUGGGAUCCCGGCUACAUACCAACUGUGGGAAUUUUGAGGACUGAAAUGCAUUCGGUUCUAAAACAUAUCUAAAAUUAAGUUUAAUUUAAUAGGUGGGACAGAAGAAGUCCUACCUUAUCUAGGCAAAUACAAAUGCUAAGAAAGGAUGGUCUUGGUGCAAAAGUCUGCAAAGCCCAUGGAUAUUUAUAACUUGGGUUUAGCAAACUUCCCCACACUGUGUGUUAAUGUAUUAAUUUUAUUUAUUUAUUUAUGAAAAAUAAUGCUGUUUAUUUUAUCUGUUCUCCAAGAAAGACUGCUUCUUAAUGCUUGGACCCAUUUUUCAGGUAAAUUUAAUUGCUCUUCCUUCCUGCCCUCUGUCCUACUUGUCCUUGCAGCUUUUGAAGAAGCCAUGCCACAGAGGCAGAGGCUGGAGAGACCCCUGCAACUGAGGCAGUGCUGCAUCAGUUUGAGGCUUGUAGCCUGUAGGAAGAAUGAUAACUUUGAAUAUCAGUGGCCAUUGUGCAUGAGCCUAGGGGCUCAGGUCAGUGUUGGCUUGGAGGUCUCUGUUUUCCCUGGUCUUGAUAGCCAUGGUUGUUCAGUCCUUGUCUUCCCUGACCAGUAAUUGUAAAAAGGACAUUUAUGAGCUGUACAUCUGUCAAAUCCUUUUGGGCUACUGAGGUCAGAAAAAUCUAGCAGUGUCAGUUCACUCAUCCUCUGCAUUUGCCAAUAAUGUUACUUAUAUUAAUGUGUUUUUUCAAAUGGUGUAUUGUUGAAUGAAAUAAUUGGUGGAGGUGAAGUUGGAGAUAUCACAAAAAUUUAGUUAGUUUCAUGUGGAUUGAAGGCAAAUUUGGAGGCUGGUGCUCUACAGACAUGCAAUGAAGUUAAUUAUCUCUUUAAUCUCGUAUAUUUAAACCUAGCAAUAAACUAAGGAAAGAUGAUAUUGAUCUGCAGGAACUUGAUGGAGACAAAGCAAGGAUUGCAAAAAACCAGAAAUAUUAUGCAUAAUUAAGAAAAUUGCUAAUGAUAACUUUAAUCAAUGAAAUUAGAGAUGGAAAGGCUGCUAGGUCAAGUAUUCCAUCCAAGGCCUCUGACAGCUUAUUUCCUUAUCACUGAGAGAACAGUUUUCAAUUUCAUGCCUGAUUUUGGCUCAUCCUUCACUUCUAGUUAACCAACAAAAUCUGUCUGAAUUUCACAGAUAUUAUCGUAUUUUUUUCCAGAAAGAUUAAGGCAAAAUGAAGAAGGCAUUUUCAAAAAUGAGGGUUAAAAAUAUGAAGGAUUGCCAUUACAAAACACUCUUCCAUAGCUCACUCUAAUCUGUUGUGGCUUUGCCUGGAAUAGCUUUCUAUUUGUUCUCUGCCCCUGUCCUUAGCAGCAGCCUGUAUGUUUGUCAGGCCACAAUAAUUUGAGUGGUAGGACUGUGGGCAACUUGAAAUAGGGUUGUGCUGUGUCGUGUGGUACUUUCUGCCAGGUAGCUACAAGCUCCCCAAAACAUUCCUAUGAGCCUUCAGAAUGAUGAAUAGCAUCACUGGUUUGGGCACAGGCUGCAGAAAGCCUGAACUGGAGCAGCUGCCCUGUAUGACAUUUGCAGGGCACUGAAACAUCCAGCUAACCCAUGUUUCCAGAGUCAGUAACAAUCCAGAAGAUGCAGAGGAAGUGCUUGGUUGGUUCUACCUCUGCUGAUAAAGGACCUUGGCAGUGAUGAGUUUUGGGUGGCACUUAAGGCUAGCACUCCAGUGUAUGUUUCUGCAUCCGGGUAAACUGAGGUUCAUCACAUCUAAGUAGGUCCACUGCUUUAUUAAAGCAACAUUCCCAUAUUCCUCCCUAGCUCAGUUGCUGGAGCCAGUUUUUUUUGUCAAGAAAGACUGGAUGGAGAGGGAGAGAACUGUAUGUGAAACAGUAGAAAGGACAGGCCUGUCUGUGCAUCACAAAAGUCAGAUAUAGAUCUGUAUAACCUGAAAGAUACCACAAACACUUGAGUCCUCCUCUCUGUUCCCACCUUGGUCUUAAACAAUAGGAUUGACAUAGCACAGGGUAAGUAUAAGAAAACUGAUCAGUAAGAAUAAAAGUUAACUGUCUCAUGCUGUGGGUGUAAACAGAUUAAAUAUAAUUUUAACUACACACUCCAAAUACUGCACUUUCUAGCAAGAAACUCUUUGAAUUUUGGAAGACAAGAAUGCUUCCCCAUGGAGACCAGACAUAUCACCCUCAGAAAGCUGAUUUAUACCUAGGCUGGAUGAGCUUGCGGAUCAGAAAACUGAAGUAUGUACGAAGAAUAGGAACAGGGAAAGAGAGAAAACUUCAGGAGUAAAGCAAUGAAUGACCAUUUUAUUCUGGGGGGUGGGGGGGAAGGUUUUACAUAUAAACACACACAAAAAAGAUAACUGAACAGUAGUAUUGUUUGGAUGGUUUUCCUGUAUAAAGUGACUAAUCUCCCCAGAGCCAUAGGUCAAAAUCUAGGCAGGAUUGGCUUUGCCCUUCAUCCUCACUUUUCAUCUCCAUGGGAAUAGAUUAGUGCUUAGCAGCACACGCUGCAGCAGGAAACAGUCUCAGUGUGUGCCAUUCCUCUGAUCAAGAGCAUUUUCUUGCUUAGUACACUUCUGUGAUUGACUUAGGGUUUCUUUUUUCAUGUGCAGCAAAGCCUUCUGCAUUAUUAUAAACAAAUUAUAAAGUUGCAUAAUUGUAUCACUUAUGUAAUUUAAUUUGUGCUUUUUGCAUCUCCCAGUAAGAGAAAAAAAUAAAAAAAAUAUCUAUGUGUAUGCACACAUAUACAAACCCAGGCUUUUUCUGCUUUCUGUGCUGUGAUUUUC